GAUGAACGCUGGCGGCGUGCCUAAUAUAUGCAAGUCGAGCGAACAGAUAAGGAGCUUGCUCCGGUGACGAUAGCGGCGGACGGGUGAGUAACACGUGGGUAACCGACCUAUAAGACUGGGAUAACUUCGGGAAACCGGAGCUAAGACCGGAUAAAAUUUGGAACCGCAUGGUUCUAAAGUGAAAGAUGGUUUUGCGAUCACGGAUAGAGGGAACCGCUCCGUAUUAGCUAGUUGGAAAGGUAACGGCUUACCAAGGCGACGAUACGUAGCCGACCGGAGAGGCUUGUCUGCCUCUCUAGACCUGAGACCCGGGCCCGACGCCCACGCGAGCAAGCAGUCGGCAAUCUUCCCCACAAGCCGAAAGCCUGCCGGCUCACCGCCGUGUGGAUGAUGAUGGUUUUCCGAUCGUACAACUCUGUUAUUAGGGAAGAACAAAUUUCUAAGUAACUGUGCACGUCUUGACGUUACCUCCUCAGAAAGCCACGGCUAGCUACGUG
RNAcentral lists this ribosomal RNA (497 nucleotides) under uncultured bacterium. RNAcentral's name for it is "partial 16S ribosomal RNA". It matches the Rfam family "Bacterial small subunit ribosomal RNA", at positions 28 to 507 of the family's 1533-position model. The record is from RNAcentral.